CUGGCGGCGUGCUUAACACAUGCAAGUCGAACGAGGAUAUACAUGGAAAGCUUCGGCCGGAAGGGUGUAUUCGAGUGGCGGACGGGUGAGUAACGCGUGAACAAUCUGUCCCGGACAGGGGGAUAACACUUGGAAACAGGUGCUAAUACCGCAUAAGACCACAAUGUCGCAUGGCAGAGGGGUAAAAGGAGUGAUCCGGUUCGGGGUGAGUUCGCGUCCGAUUAGCCAGUUGGCGGGGUAACGGCCCACCAAAGCGACGAUCGGUAGCCGACCUGAGAGGGUGAUCGGCCACAUUGGAACUGAGAGACGGUCCAAACUCCUACGGGAGGCAGCAGUGGGGAAUAUUGGGCAAUGGGCGAAAGCCCUGACCCAGCAACGCCGCGUGAGUGAAGAAGGCCUUCGGGUUGUAAAGCUCUGUUAUAGUUGACGAAGGAAGUGACGGUAGGCUAUAAGGAAGCCCCGGCUAACUACGUGCCAGCCGCCGC
RNAcentral lists this ribosomal RNA (485 nucleotides) under uncultured bacterium. RNAcentral's name for it is "bacterial SSU rRNA". It matches the Rfam family "Bacterial small subunit ribosomal RNA", at positions 36 to 518 of the family's 1533-position model. The record is from RNAcentral.